UAUCUCUGUAGAGUCUGCAUAUCAAUAAGCGGAGGAAAAGAAACUAACUAAGGAUUCCCUUCAGUAACGGCGAGUGAAGCGGGAAGAGCUCAAAUUUGAAAGUCUUCAAGGUUUUACCUUGACGAAUUGUAGUUUAAAGAAGUGUUUUCUGUUGAAGUUUUCGGUAAAAGUUCUUUGGAAUAGGACAUCAUAGAGGGUGAGAAUCCCGUAUUUGACCGUUAUUUUCAGCUGUGUGAUACACUUUCAAAGAGUCGGAUUGUUUGGGAAUGCAGUCCAAAAUGGGUGGUAAAUUUCAUCUAAAGCUAAAUAUUGGCGAGAGACCGAUAGCGAACAAGUACCGUGAGGGAAAGAUGAAAAGAACUUUGAGAAGAGAGUUAAACAGUACGUGAAAUUGUCAAAAGGGAAGCGUUUGACACCAGUGUUGUUUUCUACGAAAAUCAAUUUAUGAUGGCUUGAUGCUAAGCUUUAAGACUUUAUCCGCUUGUUGUUUAGUUUUCUUGUCUUUGUGAAUGCACUUUUCGUGGAACAAGUCAACAUCAAUUUCUUUUGCUGUAAAAGGGUAAGAGGAAGGUGGCUUCGGCUUCGGUUGAAGUGUUUAUAGCCUUUUAUCUCUGCAGUCGGAGAGAUUGAGGUCUGCAGCGUAGACUCUUCGGGGUUAGAUACGUCGGUGCUAAGCUAUAGCUUUUCAUAGACAACUUGUUGACUAUGUUUAGUCAUGUGGCUUACCCGCUGGCGCUAUUUUACCUACGCUUAGGAUGUUGAGUCAUCACACAUCUCU
This 778-nucleotide ribosomal RNA is filed under the name uncultured Neocallimastigales. Its description in RNAcentral is "partial large subunit ribosomal RNA". It matches the Rfam family "Eukaryotic large subunit ribosomal RNA", at positions 24 to 618 of the family's 3401-position model. The record is from RNAcentral. Lineage: Eukaryota; Fungi; Neocallimastigomycota; Neocallimastigomycetes; Neocallimastigales.